CAUAGAAUCAAACUGUAGACAGAAUUUAGUUAAUAAUUGAUGUGUUAACUCAUGUUAACUCAAUUAAGAACUUCAAUUUUUUAAAGUUUAUUUGAAUAUCAGAUAAAAGUAGAUCUUUCGAUUUUUCGAUGGAUUAUCUGUCAAUAAUGAGAAAAAUAUUUAGCAUUUUAUUUCUAUUUGUCAUAAUUUUGUGUAUUCAAAAAAAUUUUGCAUUCAUUGGACUUAUUAUGAAAGUUAUCAAAAUACCUUUUUCAAUAAUUAAAAGUGUUGGUAAAAUGUUUCUUGGAUCCAUGAUUAGUGGUAGUGGCGAUGAUGAUGAUGAUUAAUGAUGAACACUAUGGUUUCACUACAAUAAUGAAAUGAAAACUAUGCAAAAGGAAAUAAUCAUUUUAAUCUUUUGUUUUUAAUAAUUGUGAACAUUGUAUUUCCUUAUUUUCAAUAAAGAAUGAAAACAUUAAAAUACUA
This is a long non-coding RNA of Leptopilina heterotoma, 465 nucleotides long. RefSeq lists it as uncharacterized. The record is from RefSeq and is a predicted model, not a curated record. The transcript is spliced from 3 exons. Lineage: Eukaryota; Metazoa; Arthropoda; Insecta; Hymenoptera; Figitidae.